This 492-nucleotide ribosomal RNA is filed under the name uncultured bacterium. RNAcentral's name for it is "partial 16S ribosomal RNA". It matches the Rfam family "Bacterial small subunit ribosomal RNA", at positions 29 to 507 of the family's 1533-position model. The record is from RNAcentral.
AGUGAACGCUGGCGGUAGGCCUAACACAUGCAAGUCGAACGGCAGCACAGUAAGAGCUUGCUCUUACGGGUGGCGAGUGGCGGACGGGUGGGGAAUACAUCGGACUCUACUUUUUCGUGGGGGAUAACGUAGGGAAACUUACGCUAAUACCGCAUACGACCUACGGGUGAAAGCAGGGGAUCUUCGGACCUUGCGCGAUUGAAUGAGCCGCUGUCGGAUUAGCUAGUUGGCGGGGUAAAGGCCCACCAAGGCGACGAUCCGUAGCUGGUCUGAGAGGAUGAUCAGCCACACUGGAACUGAGACACGGUCAAGACUCCUACGGGAGGCAGCAGUGGGGAAUAUUGGACAAUGGGCGCAAGCCUGAUCCAGCCAUACCGCGUGGGUGAAGAAGGCGUUCGGGUUGUAAAGCCCUUUUGUUGGGAAAGAAAAGCAGCAGGUUAAUACCCCGCGGUUCUGACGGUAACCAAAGAAUAAGCACCGGCUAACUUCGUG